AGCCUUCCAAAGUCAAUACAAGGAGAUUUGGGAUUGUUAUUGCUACAUAACAAUCAAGGUAACAUUAUAAACUUAUUCUAAUGUCUAAUAUGAUUACUUGUAUGCUAGAAUUAGGGUUUAUAGUCUUGGAUUCAAAGCAUGUACAAUAGAGAAACCUAGAUCCAAGCAUUAGGGUUUGUAUGAGCACAUAGGAUGUUCUUAGGACCAAAACCCAUCAGUGGUAUCAGAGCCUAGAUUGGUUUCUAUUGUAUUGAUGCUUUGUAUGUUGAAAAAAUUCGAUUUUUGUGUUUCUGGGGGCUGAACUCGCCGAGUUUUUUAGAUGAACUCGCCGAGUUCAUGCUAACUCGACGAGUCCAUGCCUGACUCGACGAGUCGGCUGGUCAGUGUGAGGGAAAACCGGGAUUUCUUGCUGUUUUUGCUUAAGGAUAGUUGCCUUAUCAUAUUAGAUCAAUAUUAAUCCGAUUUUAUGAUAUAUUUGACUAUAUUCUUGAUCUAAUUGAAGAUAUUUAUCAAUUAAUAAAAUAUUUGUUUCCUUAUGUGAUAAUUGAUUAAUUAUUUUGAUUAAAUUGGUAAAUUGUUUUGCAAGAAAUCAUUAAAUAAAUCAAAUAUGGAUAAUUAUGUGAUUAAAUGUUAAUUUAGAUUAUUUGUUAUUUGAUCCUUGUGUUAUGAAAAGUUUCAUAUUUUCCCCUUUAGGUUUUAUAGUUUAAAUUUGAACCCAAAAGUUUUGUUGUUUUGAAAUUUAAAUAGUUAAAACCCUAAUGUUUUGAAAAAGGUUUCAAAACUUGCCCUCAAGUUUUGGAAUUUAAAUUUUGAUUAAUUGUUUAAUUUUGAUGUAUAUUUAAAUUCUAAACCCUAAUGUUUUGAAAUGUUUCAAAACUUGCCCUCAAGUUUUGGAAUUUAAAAGUUGAUUAAAAGUUUAAUUAGGAAUGUUAAAUUCUAAAACCCUAGUAUUGUUUUGAAAAAGUUCAAAUCACACCCUUAUGGUUUUAUUAAUUAAUUAAGGUGUAUAAUUAAAAGAGGUUUAAUAAAUCCAUAAAAGUUUUGGUUUACAAUUUAAUUGAAUUAAAAGUAUAAUUGUUAAAUUAGACCACCUAAUAUUUUAAAAGUGUAAAAUACACCCUAUACUAUAUAUAACAUUAAAAGUCUAACAUUAUAUAUAUGUAUGAGUAAAAGUCAGUCUUACCGUUAGUAGGCCUCAUUCACGAAGCUGGUCUAUAAGGGGUGUUUAAGGAAAUUGCCUAUAAAAUGGCGAUUGAAUGGGUAUCCACUCUUACCCACCGCACUCUUGACUAGUGGAGGGUCGUUAGCCGAACGGGUAGGAUAGGACGAAACCUUCCAUUAUAAGUAUAAUGAAUUAUUAAAGUAACUAAAUGUUUUCAUAAAAUUCCCAAUCUUAGUUACUUAGGCAAAAGUGAAUUGAUGCAAUUCCAUGAAAUUACACUUUGUGCCCUUGCGAAGACGUUAGUGGAGCGUGUGUGGUUUACCGGCACACUAAAUGGUUCUAAGCAAAGGUAGCAAAGGGUGACUCAAUGUUUGUCAUAGUUCGGUGGAGCGUGUGUGGUUUACCGGCACAUCGAAUAGGUGACUGUAACAUGUGAGGGCACCAUGUAAGUUUGCAUGGUUAUUCACACCCGCUUUGUGAUCCUCGGCAUCCCAGUCACAAACAAGAGGGGCAUAUCGAGAUUUAAACAUGCCAUUGAAAGUUCAAUGAAUCUCAAAGGAUCUAGGAGUUUUCAUAGAUUUAAAACUUAAAUUUCUUUUUCGUUUUUCAUGGUGGAAAUUAGUGAAUCGUCAUUCACUUACCUUCAAAUAUUCUGCAAUUAGGGUUACGGCAUCCCUCUCCCGAGUUGUAGAAUAUUGUGUUGGGUCCUAGCCUUAGUAUCUCAUUUGGGUGAUUUACUAAGGACUCAAUCAAUCAACUAACUUGAAUUCGUUUUCUCCCGUUUUGUAGAUGUCAAAGUUCGACAACUAUGGUCUUCCCAAAUCCCGUGGAACAAGCAUUCCACAUGAAGAUGAUAUUCCACGAUUCGAUCGAGGAACAAGAAAUCAUGCUUCACUUCCUCCUCCUCCUCCAAUUAUUCUCCCUAACCCACAAGUUCAAAGGCUUGAAAAGUUCAAGAUCACUCAAGCCCUUUUGGCAAGUAAACAUAAAGAAGGAAAGUCGGUGUGUGCACACGUCCUAGGGAUGAAGUCACACAUUGAUAGGUUAAGAAUGUUGGGAUCCGUUGUCUGUGAGGAAAUGGCUGUUGAUUGGGUUCUUCAGUCACUUCCUAACUCAUAUAGUGAGUUCGUAAGAGAGUACUAUAUGAUGAACCGCGACGUGACCCUUAUAGAUCUCACCUAUAUGCUUAUUGCUGCUGAAUCAGCAAUGGUUUGGCGCAAUAGAAAAGCAAAGUUGAUUGAUGAAUCUGCCUUCAAGACCUCUAUGAAUAUAGACAAUGGCAACGAAAUACAUGUUAUGAUCGAAAAGUUUGAUCAGAAGAGAAAGGCCAUGUCUGAAGUAGUUCCAUGUCCCGUUCCAAAAGAGUUAAUUUGCUUUUAUUGCCAAGAGAAGGGGCAUUGGAGACGAAGCUGCCCUAUUUACCUAAGAGAUCUAAGAGAUGGGAGAGUCAAAACGUAUGGCUCUGCUUUAGGUAAAAUCCAUUGACUAACUCUUUUAAGCUUCUAUUCUAGAUUCUUAAUACAUAAUGUGAUAAGAUUACAAUUGAUGUUUUGUAGGAUCGAAGAAAAGAAAGGAAGCUUAAGGGAAGAAGUGAGCAAAAUCUAACCGUGAAGGAAUGGAUUUCGAUCGCAUUUCUCGAAGAUUAGAUUCUUGAGCUACUACUUAGAGUUAGAAUUAGAUUGCUAAGAAAGAUGUAUUAGCAUAGUUUUUCAAUGAAUUGCAUUGUAAGGACAAAUUUUUCCGCAAUAAAAUAAAUUUUGAUUUUAUAUUAUUUAUUUAUCCUUGCAAUGGCGUAUAUGAAAAAUUGAUGUUUGAAUGUUUCUAUUAUUAGCAAUAAUGGAUUUGGUUCUUAUUAUGUUAUUUAUGGAAAGUCGAGAAUUUACCAAAUAGGGAGAGUUUCUCAUCGCCCAAGUUUCAAUUGGACAGAAAUUUGGAAUCAUGCAACUUGGUUGCACGAUGAAUGAGAAAUUUCAUAUUUGGAAAUUAGACUAAUUCGUUGACAAGGUGUCAAUUGAAGGACUUGGAAAUCGAGUACACAAAGUUGCAUGCUAAUCAAGUCCACCAUAAAAGUAACAAUGAUAUUCUUCAUGAUUUACUAAAAGUUUAGUAAAUAUGAUUAUACUUAUAAGAUUAAGUGUAAUUCUGAAUUGAUUGAAAAGGUUUAAAUCAAUAGUAGAAUAAAUAAGAAGAAUCAAGUACGCAGAAAGAUAAAAUUUUCUCCAUUCUAAGAAGAAGGGAGAGUACCUUUUAUGCUUUAUGAUAGGUCUUAAUGAUUAAGAACCAUAUCUCAAUUGAUCCUCUAAGUGAGUCUUAGUACAAUUGUAUGUCUAAGAAGAGGAAUCAAGAAUUGAAGAAAUGGUUAAAUCAAGAAGUCAAUCAUACUUCGUUCCAAAACAAGUCUUAGAGUUAAGAUUGUGACAUUGAGUGAAAAGUAUUAAGAAGGUUUAUAACAUUCAUUAAAUGUGGAAAGUUGUGAUGUCUUGGAUAAGACAAAGACCAACUAGGACCAAUUUAUGAAGUGUUUUGAUAAAAGCUACACUAACUCUUGAAUAUUUGUUUGUCAAGAAAUGGUUAUUGACAAGAGAAUCUUAUAUGUCAAGGAGUCAGUGGGAGUCUUAAUGGUCUUGAAAGGUUUCAAGAACAAAUCAAAUAAACCUUAUCGAUCAUCACUAGCACACGAGUUGAGGUUUACAACCUAUCGUGUUGACAUUAUUUUGAUUCUGUGCCAAUCCAAUCGAGUUAAUUAUGCAUGUGAGUUCUAUGAGUUCUCAUUUUGAACGCAUAAAAGGCAAAGCACCUUAAUCAAUGAAAGGUACAUUGAUAGGAAAGGGUGAGCUGCUUAACUACUUGGAAGACAUGGUGGGCAGCUGUGCUACCAUAAGGCAAGAAAUCAAGAUUAAGAAAGUUCGGUCCAUAUGAGUUUGAAUUUGUCGUAAACUUUGGUUUUAACAAAUUCACAUGGAUAGGAACACAUACACCGUUUAAAUCUAAGUGUCAUAAGAUUUCCUCCUUCAUGAAAAUGAUUGUGAGGAAAUGCUUUCACUAAGAAAGAUUUUAAGAAGAUAGUGAUUGUAAAAUUGCAUUCUCAAAUUCAAUUAUGGUUACGGCAUCCCUUUCCAUAAUUUGAAUUGUGAGGUUUGGCAAUUAGUCUUAAUUGUUUAGACACACAUAUGAACUAUCGAAGGCAAAGGUGUAUAAGUUCAAGAAGCAUUGAUAAAGGAUUAUCAAAGCACUAAGUAUUAGAAACAUGAACUUAAGAAAUUCAAUAAGUUUGGUUUUCUGAAAGUUAAGAUGUUUAUGAAUACAUGUCGAAGCUAGUGGGAGCAUAAGUGUUAUGUUUUAUAAUAAUCAUCAUGAUAGUGGGAGCAUAAAUGUUAUGAUUGUAUGAUUAUUAAGGAAAGUAUUGCAAGGUUAGCAAUAUUAAUUAUAGAAAACAAGAGUCAUACUUUGCAAAGUUGUAAGAGUUGAAAAGUUGUUUUGCUAUAAUUAAGGGAGAGAAUAUUAUGCUUCAUUUCAAAUCUAAAGGAUUAGGUUGAGAAAUGUUAAUAAAUUUAGUCAAAGGUACAUAGUGUGUUCUUAAAAUUUCGAUUAUGAUUACGGCAUUCCUCUUCACAAUUCGAAUUUUGAGAACAUAGCAAAUAAAACAUUAUGCGUCGUGUCCCAUACGCUUCGGGUAUAGGAUCGAUUGCAAAUGCUUUAAUGUUUGACCAUUCUAAAAUUUUCCAAAUGUCUAGCGCAUUUAGAGGGAAAAAGGACUAGAAUCGGUUUUGACUAAAAUAAUUAAACAACUAUCAAAGGACAAUCCAAAGUUCGACGAGGAUUGGUCGCUUGUGAGUAGUUGGAAGUAUAGUAUUGGAAAAUAUGGAAAUGUUUCCAUAUUGGAUGGACCAUAUCGACAUUAUUAUGAAUAGAUAAGAUUCUAUUAAGAAUGAGUUGUCAUAUGGAAAAUAUGGAAACGUGUCCAUAUUGGGAAUUGAAUAUUGAAAAUCUAUGUCUAGAUUAGAAACUUUUAUGCAAAAGGAUGUUCAAAGGAAUGUACUUUGAGUGAGAGACAUCAUAUCUAAGGAAUUGUCUUGUAACAAUCUCCGAUAGAGGACUUUGUAAUAUCAUUGGCAAUAGUCUUUGUGACUUUGGUGCAGUGACAUUACGAAAGGAUCAUUGCAUAAAAUGUUAGAAUCUAGCAUAUUCUAUAAGUAGCAAGAAUUUGAUAUUCUUUCACUUAUGAAAAAGGAUUUGGAGUUGUGAAAUGAGAAUGAUUGGAAAUGUGUUCAAUUUGAUCUAUUUCACAAAGUAAGAACCAUAGGUAAACAUUGUGUGCAUGCUAGGAGCAUGGGACAAGUGUAAUAAUUCAAGUAAGAAGUUGAUUACCCGAAACGACAAAUAAUGAGUAAUCGAUAUGGUGAUAAAUAAAAGGUGUUUUAUUUAUACUCAAAGGUUUGAGGCCAUAUGGGAUUAGUAUUAUUCUUGUGUUUCACUUUGCAUGUUUUGACUUCCUGAAUAAUUUAAUUGGUUAAGAACAGUCGAAUUAUUCGAACGGGCCACAGUCGUUCAUAUGUUGGAAGUAGGUAUGAAUGAAGACUGUCGUGAAUUGGUGUGUGGAUUGUCUAAAGAGUAUUAGACAUAAGCAAAUGUUUGCUGCAACGUUCAUGAGUGCUUAUGAAUAUGAUUUGAGCAUUGGAUUAAACCCACGCUCACUUGGAUCACUCCAUGAAUUGUAUCACGAGUGAUUGGUGAGACGAUAACAUCUUAUAUUCUUGAAACCGAGAUGUGUGAGUUGUAUCUUGCAAAUCGGUUGCACAUUGAUAAUAUGUAAACGCACUAGUAACUUGGUGUUAUAAAACAUAUUGUUGUGUGUGAUUCGGUGAGUGAGUGCAAGCAAGCAUUGUAUCAAAGUUUAUCCGUUCCUUUUAUCCAAAGUAGGAUAAAAGCGAUAUCUUUGGGCCCCUCGAUGAUUUAGUGAUGACAAACGUAAAUGCUCGGCCGGGCUAGGGCUAAUUUGAUUUGUUCAAUUAGUCAGUCGUCAUAAAUCGGGAAUCGAGAUAUAGUACAAAGAGAAUGAUUUGAAAUCAUAUCUCAUAUGAUAUCUAGAAUGGAGGAAUAUAUGAUCCCUUAUCUAAGGACACGCGUAUCUGAUAUGAUCAGAGUUGACAGCGGCUUUGGAAAGCUACGAUUGCAGAUCAGGAUCUGAAGUCAUACGCAUAAUAGUUAUUAGACUUAUCCAAGUGGGAGACUGUUGGAUUAGUGUCUAAGUCCAUAACUAUUUUGGUAUGUACUUGACCCGAUGGUGCAUGGUCCUUUUGGGUUGCCUUCACCAAAGCAACUUGAUAGGAUGAAUUAUGGAGAGAAAGGAUUAAAUAUGAUUUAUUAAUAUAUUAUGAGAAUAAUAUAUUAAAGGAGAAAUCAUAUUGUUUAAUUAAUAUUAGUCAAUAAUUAAUUGGUAAUUAGUUUUGUGACUAAAAGAGAUUAAUUAAACUUAAGGGACUGGAAUUGUAAUUAUAAGAUAAUUGCAAUUUGGGCCAUGGAUUGCCUUUUAUUAUAAGGUGGACGAAUUCUAUGGAGGAAGCCCAUAUGAAAUCGUCCAAGGCCUUAUGGAAAGGGCUCCAUGGGUUGCUUAGGGCUUAAGCAUCCAAAUUAGGGUUUCCUUGUUAGAUAACCCUGAUUGCCUCACUAUAUAUAGAUCCCUUAAGGACCAAAAACGUGGACAAGCCUCUUGCUAGGGUUUCACACGAGUUUUGGCAGCCUCCAUCCUCUCUCCUCUUCAUCCUCUUGCUUAUGGUGUUUGUGAACCAUUAGAGGAGUGACACUUGUGACUCUCAGCCUUCCAAAGUCAAUACAAGGAGAUUUGGUAUUGUUAUUGCUACAUAACAAUCAAGGUAACAUUAUAAACCUAUUCUCAUGUUAAUAUGAUUAUUUGAAUGCUAUAAUUAGGGUUUAUAGUCUUGGAUAACUUGCAUGUACAAUAGAGAAACCUAGAUCCAAGCAUUAGGGUUUGUAUAAGCACAUAGGAUGUUCUUAGGACCAAAACCCAUCAUUUACUUGUUCCAAAACUUGAGGGCAAGUUUUUUAAACUUUCAAAACUUUACAUUUCUCAUAAC
Molecule: long non-coding RNA, 7257 nt
Filed under: Lactuca sativa (garden lettuce)
Lineage: Eukaryota; Viridiplantae; Streptophyta; Magnoliopsida; Asterales; Asteraceae
Description: long non-coding RNA (LSAT_LNC001938)
Source: RNAcentral